Molecule: transfer RNA, 71 nt
Organism: Coccidioides immitis H538.4
Lineage: Eukaryota; Fungi; Ascomycota; Eurotiomycetes; Onygenales; Onygenaceae
Rfam family: tRNA
About the family: Transfer RNA (tRNA) molecules are approximately 80 nucleotides in length.
Source: Rfam
GGUGGUAUGGUCUAGUGGUAUGACGUCGCGUUGUGGCCGCGCCAGCCUGGGUUCGAUUCCCAGUACCGCCA